RNAcentral lists this unclassified non-coding RNA (391 nucleotides) under soil metagenome. RNAcentral describes it as "partial contains 5.8S ribosomal RNA, internal transcribed spacer 2, and large subunit ribosomal RNA". The stretch from base 1 to 121 matches the Rfam family "5.8S ribosomal RNA", at positions 35 to 154 of the family's 154-position model. The record is from RNAcentral.
GAUGAAGAACGCAUCGAAAUGCGAUACUUGGUGUGAAUUGCAGAAUCCCGUGAACCAUCGAGUCUUUGAACGCAAGUUGCGCCCGAAGCCACUAGGCCGAGGCACGCCUGCCUGGGCGUCACACGUCGUUGCCCCCCACCAUCUACUCCUUCGGGAUUGCGGGGGGCGGAUGAUGGCCUCCCGUGCGCCUAGCCGCGCGGUUGGCAUAAAUACCAAGUCCUCGGCGACGCACGCCACGACAAUCGGUGGUUGCGAAACCUCGGUUGCCCGUCGUGUGCGUUCGUCGCGCAUCGAGGGCUCGAAAAAAUGCUCGGCUCCGGCUCGGCUUUCAACGCGACCCCAGGUCAGGCGGGGUUACCCGCUGAAUUUAAGCAUAUCAAUAAGCGGAGGA